AACAAUUUUAAGCUCAAACACAAUGUUAUAAGGUAAGAUAAGAACUAAUGUCACAAUAUUACAGGUAAAUCGUUUUUUUUCUUCCUGUUUUUCAAUUUUUAUCACUAUAAUAUUUUCUAUUCCAAAUCUUUAAGAUCCUCAUCCAUUGGUAUGGUAUAGAAGAAGUGUUCAAUUUGCUCGACUGCAUUAUCCUCGCCCUGUGUCUUGUUUCCUCUCUUUAUUGGAGCUAGGCUCUCCUUGUAAUUGAAAACCCAACAGCCAGCAAUGUUAAGGUCCAGCUGAAAUCCAAGAUCUGUAACUUGUCUUGUUGUAGGGUCAUAUAGCACCAGCUGUGAAGUUUCUGUGAUCUCAAAAACCAUGUUAUCGUUAUCCCAGAUGUUGCGAGGCCAAUGAGCAUCUAUAUGAGGUUGUACAGUUAGAACUUUGGACCAAAUUCCCUCUUGUUCAUACCCACACAUCAUAUAUGGAUGUCAUAGGUUUGCCAGGGUCACCGGUUAAUAAAGCAAGUGAGUUGCCACGCAAUGUAAGCGUCCCCCAAUGUUCACUUGGAAUAUCUGGGACUUGCAUCUCCCUAAACUGUUCGCUGCCCAUGUCAAAAGAGCGAAUCGUGUAGAUCUCAUCAAGGCCCCUAGAAAGCCAAUAAUAAACCCCGUUGAGAUAAGUGGCAUCAAGGGGUGCAGAUAAGGUAGAACUGGAAGGGAAUUCAGGAGUUAGGUGUUUCCAUGAGUUGUUGCAUGAGGAAUAAACACAGGCAUAGACACGAGGACAAACACCUUGUCCCGGUUCAUCCCAGAAUACUCGAAUCCAUACAACCUUAUAAUCUUGAGUCAACAGGUCAAAUCCCAAUCCGAACUGAUGAUCAUGGUCCGAGAAAAAGUACUCAAUCUCAAAAGGCGCAGGCGGCAGAGACCUGAACUCUCUGGUGGCAGGAUUCCACAAACCCAAGCAGACAUUGUCUCCAUAAAACUUCUUCUGCACUAAGAAUAAGCCAUCAACUGGACCAGCAACACACGUGAAAUCAGCGACCCUCGGAAGCUGAAGGAGAGUUUUUUGUUCAGGGGUCACACCUGGAACAAUUUCUUCAGGGAGCAAGGAGAAUACAACAGACCUUACGAUGGCGUCUACUUCACGUGCUACUUUCAAGUUGCAAACAAGGAGACGGGCACGAUUGUUCUUGUGAUGAAAAUGUUUUUCUAUGAAACUCGGACUUUUGAUGAGAGCAUACCAGUGCUUGCACACACAUUUGAAAAGCAAGAGUGAUUCCACUGGCAAUCUCAAUAGAAUAUCAACUACUAGAUCUUCUGGUAAAGGACAGCGACCAUCCAUACUGGUGGAAAUAUAAGUAGAAUGAGGCAACUUACAAACAUAUUGAAAGAGAGCAGAUCUAGAAAACAUGCAUUAAUAGAACACACAGUGCAACAAAAAAGAUCAAGUAGUAGCAUUACCAUGUGAAGCAAAAAAGGGGAAGUUACAAAUUUGACCACUCAGCCACAAAUAUUUACAUCCGCAAGCCAUUACACAUAUAUUAUGGGUAUACAUAUUUUUAAAAAUAUUUUGACAAAUCUUCUUGUAGAUCAAUUUUGGAGAAAAGAUCCAAAAUAGUUCCUUAUGUUUGGCUUCAGACUCAAGGUCAUCCCUUCCCUUUCUUUUAUAUGGUGCACUAAUAGUCCUUUAAGUUUCAAGUAUUAGUGCACUUUUAAUCUCUUCAUUAACAUCCAUUUACUCAUUAACGUUUUGAUCCUUUACACAUCCAUUUAUGGCCUCCGCUGUAUACGUUCUGGUAUAACACAAAUUAAUUCUUAGAUUUAUCUUAGCAGUUGCAGAUGAGUCUUCAUUUGUACUUGUUUUAUUUUUUGGCUCUGCAUCUUUCAUUGUUUGGUGUGCACCAUUCAAGAUUUGCUAAUUCUUUAACUUUCUCCUCUAUUUUCCAUACGCAAUUAAUAAGCUGACUAUAAGUCUUUGGGUUUUCCUGAAUAAAAGCUGACUAUAUAUCUGAAACAUAACCAAAGAAUAAAAUAAAAACAAGAAAAAAGGAAAAAUAUAAUACAUACUUAGUCUUCGUGUAUCAAUAUCUCAAAUUAGCAUCGGAUAAAAGUGCACUAAUACUUAAAACUUUGGAGGACUAUUAGUGCACCAAUUGAUGAUUUCGAAUCUAAAGCCAAAAAUAAAGGACUAUCUUGUAUUUUUUCUUUCGAUUUGGGCUGAUAUGGUUUGGACGGAUCAAUAAUCAGCCAAAUAGAGUCAAUAAGAGGAGACUAGUAAAGAAGUAGUCAUGCGGUUUUCUAGUCUUUUCAUUAACUAGUCAAUAAUUAUUUUUAAAGCUACAUAUCAAGUUAGCAUAUAGAGCAAUUUUGCAGGUAAUUUAAGGAUUAAGGAGCAUGAAACAGUAAUUACCCUUUUCUACUAAUAUCAAUCUACAAAUCCUUGGAAAUGGAACAAUUUUAACUUGCCCAAUAUUGAAAUGUAAAAGAUGGAAAGAAAUAAAAAGAAUUAGCAUAAACAGAAACAAUGACAGCAAAACCCUAUAUCCAUCCCCAAAUAGCACAAAUUCAGAUUCAGAUUCAGAUUCAAAUUCAAAAAAAUAAUCAGAAAUCUAACCUUAUAAGCUGAUGAAGAAGAAGUGCCGCAAUUACGACAAGGUAAAAAUGGAAAAAGAGAUUGGAUUGAUUGAGUGGUGUUGUAGAAAUACCUCCAACAGUUGACUACUUCCUCACUUUCCUACACUUCUUUUGUCAUUUUAGUUUAUAUAACUCCCCUUAAUUCCUUUUAUCCAAGUUUUUAAUACCAAGGGAUAUGAUGGAGUAAUAAGUACUUAUUCAUUGUUAAUUAGAGGUCUUGGAUUUGAAUCUUUUGGCUAUGAAGUCAUCCGUGUUAGGGAGCACUUUACCCAUAAUGUGAGAUUUUUCGACUGGGCUCUAAUAUGGAUACCGAACAUUGAGCGAUUUUUCUUUUUUUACCUUAGUGGUCAUUUGGUAGGUGGAUAAAGCUACAUCUAAUACAUGAAUCACUACAAGAAAAGUGCUGAUUACCUGGGAAUUAUUGUAGAGAAUAUAUGAUAACCCUAAUGGGUGGAGGGAGGACCAAUUUAUAGAGGUUAUGAUUUAAUCUGGUAUAUCCAUCAAGUAACCAAUGUACGGACGAGAUCUAUUCCUUAUUAAAUAUUAUUUAUGGUAUUACUUGCGUUACUAGUAAACUUGAGCCAUAAGUAAGAAAUAAUUAAUAAUAAUUAAUAAUAAUUCUUACACUUCGGGGUGCCUUCGCCAUAGUUCAAGUCUGGAGUCGGCCAUUUCAGUUCUUGAAAGCUUUUAAUCUAGCUAGUGUUAUUCAUAGUACUUCCGUGUACUUAUCGACCUUAUGUGAGUCCAAACUCGUUUGAGUUAUACAUUUACUUUCUAAUUGUGCACGAGUAUACAUACUUUCUAGGCUUAUAGAGGUCCAGUUAGGUUAUAGAUUAUUGCUUUACUUUACUACUUCGUUCUUUUCAGACUCGUGAGCUAUAUAGUUAGACUUUCCGUUAUUGCUUUGUUCAUUUGACCUCUAAUUACUGUUACUUUCAUAUUCUUCAUAUUGUUUUUACUUUCCAAGUUCAGUUGACCUAUGAUGCCUACUGGACACCUGUUGUUCUGAUAUUCAUGCUACACUCCACAUCUGUUUUCUUGAUGUGGAUUUGAGCGCCAGCCGACAACGGUGAUUGGAGCCUAAGUAAUGCGGAGAUCUUCUGAGAUGAAUGGUGAGCUAAUGGCGUCCUAGUUCGACUUAUCUCCAUAUGUAUAUAAUUUUUUACAUGUCUUUUGUAUUCGAGACAAAUUUAUUAAGUUAGUCAAUAGCAUAGGCUCGAAACUAUGACUAGAACAUUGAGUGCAUGACAUGCACAUCUUACUCCUUACUUUCCUUAUUCGUGCCUGUUUUUUUCAUACUUUCUAACUUUCACUAGUACAUUAUCCCUUGUUAAGGAAAAUUAUGUAAACAAAAUAGUAAAUGGCCUGAUCCACUUAAGAGUGAGGGCUAGUUCAUUGAUUGAUACAGCUAAAUCACAUUAAAUAAUAAAUACGGAGGAGGGCCUAAAAUACCCUUCAAGUAUAGGUAAUGGAACAAAAAUACCCUCUUCCACCUUUAGGCUCCAAAAUACCCUUCCAUCCAUCUAUAUGGACCUAUAUUACCCUUUCACUUAACAGAUUCUUUAAGACUAAUAAUUAAUCUUUUCAUUAAUGAUGUGACAGUCUUUAAUUGGUUGAAAUUGGAAUUAACCAAAAUAAGAAUUUCUCUUAAUUAAACCCAGAUCCAACUAAAUUCCACCCGACUCACUUAAAAUUCUAUUGACCCAUAUCUUAAAUAAUCAAACUUCAAUCAACAACUUGCUCCAGUUAUUUUUAAUCCCAGUCAAAAAAGAGGUACAUUAGACCAUAAACAACAUGAAACUUCCGAAAAUUCCCUGGAAACAUUCCAAGAAGGAAGAAGUGAAAUACAAGAUCAAGUGCCACUAUAAUCAUAUACCAAUAUACACCAUAUUUUGAAACACUAUGAAAAGUCCAGCAAAUCUCCAAUCUCUGGGAAACAUAAACUCAAAGCGGUAAAAUUUCUCAAAAUCCGAAACCCUAGAGUUCAAAAAUUAUUUCACUUCUUUCUUUUUUGCGAUUCAUAUAAAGCACCGCACGCAAAAAGCAAAACCAACAUAAUUUUGGGAAAUUCUCAAAGCAGAAUCAUGGAAUAGAAUAUAAAAAAAAAAUAAAAAAUUUAGCCAUAGCAAGAGAUUAUAUACUUGAUGAAGAAAAGCGAUAGAUAUCGCUUUUCUUCAUCUGCAAAUUUUACGAGAAAAUUAUAUGGAGAGAAAUUCAGUGUACAGAGAAAAAAAAGGAAACUCACCGCUACACACUCGAUUCUUCUUGUUUUUUUUUAAAGAUAUGGGUCAGUAAAAUUUUACGUGGGUUGGGUAGAGUUUAGUUGGAUCCGGGUUUGAUUUGGAGAAAUUAUUGUUUUUGCUUAAUCUAAAUUCCAGCCAAUUAAAGAUUGUCACAUCAUUAAUGAAAAGAUUAAUUAUUACUCAUAAAAAAUCUGUUAAGUGAAAGGGUAAUAUAGGUCCAUAUAGAUGGAUGAAAGGGUAUUUUUGAGCCCAAAGGUGGAUGGAGGGUAUUUUUGUUCCAUUCCCUAUACUUGAAGGGUAUGUUAGGCCCUUCUCCGUAAUAUAUAUUACAUUUUUGAACUGUUAAACUAGAAACAAGAUUUAGGAUUUUUCAAGUGGACCAAAAUACAGAUAUUGAUGCCGAGUACUUAAAGUCUGUUGCUUGCCGAUACUCUAAAAGUAGUAGUGUAUUUUUGGAGAAUCUAACAUGAGUGGAGAGUACACGCGCAACUUAGCUUAAAUUGUGUUGGUCCAAAAGGAAUGCCCCUUGAUACCAUAAACAAAAAAUACCAUGUCAGCUUUUUAUUCAAUAAUAGUACAAAGAUGACUGAUCCAAACAAUUUUAAGCUCAAACACAAUGUUAUAAGAAGACAAGAUACGAACUAAUGUCACAAUAUUACAGGUAAAUCGUUUUUUUUUCUUCCUGUUUUUCAAUUAUUAUCAUUAUAGUAUUUUGUAUUCCAAAUCUUAACGAUACUCAUCCAUUGGUAUGGUAUAGAAGAAGUGUUCAAUUUGCUCGACCUCGCCCUGUGUCUCGUUUCCUCUCUUUAUUGGAGCUAGGCUCUCCUUGUAAUUGAAAACCCAACAGCCAGCAAUGUUAAGGUCCAGGUGAAAUCCAAGAUCUGUAACUUGUCUUGUUUUAGGGUCAUAUCGCACCAGCUGUGAAGUUUCUGUGAUCUCGAAAACCAUCUUAUCAUUAUCCAAGAUGUUGCGAGGCCAAUGAGCAUCUAUAUGAGGUUGUACAGUUAGAACUUUGGACCAAUUUCUGUCUUGUUUCAUUACCCACACAUCGUAUAUGGAUGUCAUUGGUUUACCAGGGUCUCCGGUUAACAUAGCAAGUGAGCCGCCAUGCAAUGUAAGUGUCCCCCAAUGUUCACUUGGAAUAUCUGGGACUUGCAUCUCCCCAAACUGUUCGCUGCCCAUGUCAAAAGAGCGAAUCGUGUAGAUCUCAUCAAGGCCCCUACAAAGCCAAUAAUAAACCCCGUUGAGAUAAGUGGCGUCAAGGGGUGCAGAUAAGGUAGAACUGGGAGGGAAUUCAGGAGUAAGGUAUUUCCAUGAAUUGUUGCAUGAGGAAUAGACACAGGCAUAGACACGAUUAUUAGCACCUUGUCCCAGUUCAUCCCAGAACACUCGAAUCCAUACAACCUUAUAAUCUAGAGUCAACAGGUCAAAUCCCAAUCCGAACUGAUGAUCAUGGUCCGAGAAAAAGUACUCAAUCACAAAAGGCGCAGGAGGCAGAGACCUGAACUCUCUGGUGGCAGGAUUCCACAAACCCAAGCAGACAUUGUAUCCAUAAAACUUCUUCUGCACUAAGAAUAAGCCAUUAACUGGACCAGCAACACACGUGAAAUCAGUGAUCCGAAGCUGAAGGAGAGUUUUUUGUUCAGGGGUCACACCUGGAACAAUUUCUUCAGGGAGCAAGGAGAAUACAACAGACCUUACGAUGGGGUGUACACGUGCUACUUUCAAGAUGCAAACAAGGAGGCGGGCACAAUUAUUCUUGUGAUGAAAAUGUUUUUCUAUGAAACUCGGACUUUUGAUGAGAGCAUACCAGUGCUUGCACACACAUUUGAAACGCAAGAGUGAUUCCACUGGCAAUCUCAAUAGAAUAUCAACUACUAGAUCUUCUGGUAAAGGACGGCGACCAUCCAUACUGGUGGAAAUAUAAGUAGAAUGAGGCAACUUACAAACAUAUUGAAAUAGAAUAGAUCUAGAAAACAUGCAUUAAUAGAACACACAGUGCAACGAAGAAGAUCAAGCAGCAGCAUUACCAAUGUGAAGCAAAAAAGGGGAAGUUACACAUUUGACCACUCGGCCACAAAUAUUUAUAUCCGCAAGCCAAUACACAUAUUAUGGGUAAACAUAUUUUUAAAAAUAUUUUGACAAAAUUUCUUGUAGAUCAAUUUGGGAGAAAAGAUCCAAAAUAGUUCUUUAUGUUUGGCUUCAGACUCAAAGUCAUCCCUUCCCUUUCUUUUAUAUGGUGCACUAAUAGUCCUUUAAGUUUCAAGUGUUAGUGCACUUCUAGUCUCUUGAUUAACAUCCAUUUACUCAUUAACGUUUUGAUCCUUUACACAUCCAUUUAUGGCCUCCGCUGUAUACAUUCUGGUACAAAACAAAUUAAUUCUUAGAUUUAUCUUAGCAAUUGCAGAUGAGUCUUCAUUUGUACUUCGUUUUAUAUUUUGGCUCUGCAUCUUUCAUUGUUUGGUGUGCAGUAUUCAAGAUUUGCUAAUUCUUUAACUUUCUCCUUUAUUUUCGAUACACAAUUAAUAAGCUGACUAAGUCUUUGGGUUUUUCCUGAAUAAAAGUUUCUUGCGCUUUGCCUAUAUAUCUGGAGCAUAACCAAAGAAUAAAUAAAAACAAGAAAAAAGGAAAAAUAUAAUACAUACUUAGUCUUCGUGUAUCAAUAUCUCAAAUUAGCAUCGGAUAAAGGGUGUGUUCCGUAGAAAAUAGUUUCUAAUCAAAAUUUUUGGAAAAGAUUUUCUUAGGAAAACAAGUUCCAUACGUGACACUUCAAAAUUCAAAUGAAGAAAAUGACUUUCUAAAGGAAGUAGGGAAAACAAGUUUCAUAUGUGACAUUUCAAUUGAGUAUGUCCUCCCACUCUCUAAGACACCACAUAUUCACCUCACUCCCGUAGCUUCCAUACCCACUACCCUACACAUCUACCCCACCUCCGUCCCUCAUAGUAUUGUCUAGAUAAUACAUAAAUGCUUUUAGAAUAAUAUUAAAUUUUUUUUGCUUAUAUACCAAACACAAAAUAUACAUAAGAAUCUCACUUAUUUUCCUAGAAAAUAUUUUUCAAAAAAUAUUUUCCUUGGUACCGUACACACCCAAAGUUCCAAUGUCCUCGGAUAAUAUCAGCCAAAUAGAGUCAAUAAGAGGAGACUAGUAAAGAAGUAGUCAUGUGGUUUUCUAGUCUUUUCAUUAACUAGUCAAUAAUUAUUUUUGAGCUACAAAUCAAAUUAGCAUAUAGAGCAAUUUUGCAGGUAAUUUAAGGAGCAUGAAACAGUAAAUACCCUUUUCUGCUAAUAUCAAUCUACAAAUCCUUGGAAAUGGAACAAUUUUAACUUACCCAAUAUUGAAAUGUAAAAGAUGGAAAGAAGUAAAAAGAAUUAGCAUAAACAGAAACAAUGGCAGCAAAACCCUAUAUCCAUCCCCAAACAGCACAAAUUCAGAUUCAGAUUCAAAUUCAAAAUAAUAAUCAGAAAUCUAACCUUAUAAGCUGAUGAAGAAGAAGUGGCGGACAAGGAAAAAAUGGAAAAAGAGAUAUCGGAUCGAUUGAUUGGUGUUGUAGAAAUACCUCAACAGUUGACUACUUCCUCACACUUCUUUCGUCAUUUUAUUUUACUACUUCUUGGGAACGCGUUUGUUCCUCUCCUUUUUUUUUCUCGCGUGUGUUCCUUAUUAUUAUUAAAUUUUUAUAUACUAAAAAGUUGAGUUAUAAAAUAGAAAAUGCUGAAAUUAACAAUAGUAGUUUUAUCAUUUAUAUUUUAUUUACUAAAUAAUAAAAAAUAUAUACUGGAGCAUUUUUUGUUAACCUUCAUUUGUUGUUUCUCACUCUCUUUUCUUCUCAUGUUGAAAUUUGAUUGUGCAAUUACCUUCCUAUGAUAACAUCAAUCUUUGUGAAAUUGGUUCUUAAAAAGCAAAUUCAAAUUUUAAUUUUGGAAGUGUUUUUACAUAAUAGUGGAGAAUGAUUCUUCAUAUUCAACUUUUAAUUUUGAAUUGUAAUGAACAAUUACUAUUCAAAUACAAAUCUAGUUUAUUUUUAACCUUACAUUUAUUGAAUCUUUAAUGUGUACGUUAAUGAUAUAUAAUAAUUUAUUAAUUAGGUAUUUGAUUUAGUGUAGGGGCAAAAUGGUAAUUCAACUAUACACUUUCGAGUUUUCACUUUUAAUAAGUAAUUAUAAUAUAUACAAAAGAUUAAACCAUUUGAUAUUAAAAAAAUAUAUGUAUGAGUAAUAAUUAACAUUCAAUGGCAAAAGAAUGUAUCACAUUCUCAUAAACAAUAUCUCUAAGGCAAAAGUAGACAUUCUAAUUUGGACAAUUACUACUUAACUACUUAUGGGUUCAGCCAAUAAUCUGGAGAUAGGAGUUUGACAAUUUUUCAGCCAUAGUUAAAAUUCUACAUCAAUAAUAAAUAGCUUCUUAUCACAGUAAAUAGACAUUUGAAUAAUUAAUAUAAAUUGAGCAACACAAACUUUUCAAAAUGACUUAUUCUAGAUAUAUAAUAGGGAAAAGGGUCAAAAUUACCCCUCAGUUUUGUUUUAUUGGUUAACUUUAUCCUUACCAUUAAAAACAAGUUAUUUUUACCCCUGUCGUCAAUAAACUUAACAAAUAUACCCCUCCUUGAACGGAAACCCCCAAAUCAAUUGAAAUUACCCGAUUUUAAUUGAAAUUAUCCAAUUUCUUUUUUAACCCGAACUAGAACCCAACCCACUAAACUAAACAAAUUAACCCAUUUCCAAUCUUCUUCAUCUCAGUGUUCUUGGCUAAGUACCCUAAGAACACUCACAAUCUUUAUCAUAGCUAACACAUAAAUCCUACAUUGUCUGACAAAAUCAAUUGAAAAGGUUCGUUGGUUGAAUGUAUAACAAGUAAAUUAUUUUUGCUGAACAACAUCCCGCCUCUCUCUGUUGUGGGGUUCAGCGAAGAACAAGCCACAGAGCAAGUAAAUGGAAAAGUUUCAAUUUACACAUCAUCAUUCAAUCCAAUGAAGAAAACCAUUUCUAGGUACCAACCAAAUUACUUUUUGAUUUGUUGUCAGUAGGCUGCCCCUAAAUGUGUACCCAAUAGUACAUCUAAUUCUUCUUUACCUGGCUCGUAAAUCAAUUCAGUGGCCCUCCAUGAUUCUUGUAUGUGCACGUAAAAUUAAGCUACAAUGGAGGGGAGGUUUUUCUUUUCUCUAUCUUUUUAUUUGUUCAAAAUGUUUCCAAUAUAUCAUCAUAUUUGAUGAGUACUGGAUAUUUGAUGAUUACUGAUUUCUUGUAUGUAGCAAAUCAUGUGAUUGAACGACUGCAGUGUUUAGCCUAGGCAACCUUCAACAAACAAUUUGGAGAUAAAUAUCAGGUCUUUUCGAUUGAUUUUGUUAGACAAUGUAGAAUUUGUGUUAGCUAUGAUAAAGAUUGUGAGUGUUCUUAGGGUACUUAGCCAUGAACACUGAGAUGAAGAAGAUUGGAAAUGGGUUUAUUUGUUUAGUUUAGUGGGUUGGGUUCUGGUUCAGGUUAAAAAAGAAAUUGGAUAAUUUCAAUUAAAAUUGAAUAAUUUCAAUUGAUUUGGGGAUUUCCGUCCAAGGAGGGAUAUAUUUGUUAAGUUUAUUGACGGCAGGGGUAAAAAUAACUUGCUUUUAACGGUAAGAGUAAAAUCAACCAAUAAAAUAAAGUUGAUGGGUAAUUUUGACCCUUUUCUCUAUAUAACAUAUAUGGACAAUUUGAGGAAUGAAUGUUUCAACACAUGAAUAAUAGACUAAUAAGGUCAAUAGAUUAUACAUAUAAAUGAAAAGUUAAAUAAAAAUACAGCCUCAAAAUCACAUACUAUGAUCCAUCAUUUAUCUCCAAUUCGGUGGCCCAGUUUAUUUUAGGGUAUGGAUUCUUUUAUUUUUAAAAAAAAAACAUAUUUGAUUUUUCUCAUUUAGUUAUUCCUCUCCCUACUCAUAAAUAAUAAUCUCGAAAAAAUAUUUUUACUAAAGUAGAACACUCUAUCAAGAGCCAAAUAAACAUAUCAAAUUAACUAAUUAAUCUUUCAUCAAUUAUUGAUAGAACAUGAAUUGUAUAUCACUACUUUCUUCAUGUAGGAUACAAGAUAUUUCAAUAGAAAAACAAAAUCAUAAGAAAGCAUAUCAAAAUAUAAAAAAAGGACAUAUAAAAUACUUUGGCUGGACAAGGAGGAGCGGAUAAAAACAAAAGGAAAUUACUGCACAUACAAAAUGAUGAGCAAGAUUAGUUUUUUGCAGGAUAGUCUCUCAUCCUCCUCUUAUCAUUUACAUGAAAACCAUGCUAGGCAUUUUAUAGCAAUAGCUAGGAUGACCUUUGAGUAGAUAAUUAAUUUGCAUUAAUUUAGUUUAAUGAUUUUAGUCCAUAUCAAAUUUAUUUAAUGGAAAACUCUUCAAAUACUCUUGAUUUUACAGAAAAAGAGAAAUUGACUAUUAAUGUGAAUUUGAUUCAUGUACCAAUUUAAAUGAGUUUAAUCUAAGGAAGUGAAAAAAUCAUUAACAUUUUUAUUAAAACGAUACAAUUUAAUAUUUAAAUUAAAUAGUUAAAUAUUUUAUAACAUUUUAAUUUAUAAUAGGGGUAAAACGGUAAUUCAACUUUUAACUUUUUUUAUUCCCGCUUAUAGUAAUAUAUGAUACAACUCCUCUUAAUUCCUUUUAUCUAAGUUUUUAAUUAUGUGGUGGAGUAAUAAGUACUUAUUCAUUCUUAAUUAGAGGUUCCAGUUUGAGUCUUUUUGGCUAUAAAAUCAUCUCUGUUAGAGCGCUUUACCCAUAAUCUAAGAUUUUUCGACACAAAUUCAAAUUUAGUGAGGCUCUAAUAUGGAUAUCGAACACUGAGGGGAAAAUAAAAAUAAAAAUUACCUUAGGGGUUAUUUGGUAGGUGGAUAAAGCUACAUCUAAUACAUGAAUAACAAAGUUAUUUAUGUAUUUAAUUUAUAUAAUGUUUGUAUAAAAGUUAUUCAUAUAUUAACAAAGAUGUUUCUCUCUACGAUAUGUUCCCACAGGAGAAAGAGUUUGUUACUUGAAGAGGGGGGGGGGGGAUGUUGNNNNNNNNNNNNNNNNNNNNNNNNNNNNNNNNNNNNNNNNNNNNNNNNNNNNNNNNNNNNNNNNNNNNNNNNNNNNNNNNNNNNNNNNNNGAAGGGGGGGGGGGGGUAUUUGGAGUCUUUUAGCCACAGUUCGAAGCCCUGACAUAUCGAUCUCUUUUAGCCACGGUUCAAGGUCCCAACGUAUUUUGUUUUGCCACGGUUCAAGGUCCCGACGUAUUUUAUUUUGCCACGGUUCGAGGCCCCAUCAUAUCUCUAUUCGCCUUGGUUCGAAUCCUAACAUGUGGUUCAUUUGGGUUCUUCGGGGUGCCUUCACCAAAGUUCAAGUCUAGAGUCAGCCAUUUUAAGUUCUUGAAAGCUUUUAAUAUAACUAGUGUUAUUCAUAGUACUUCUGUGUACUUAUCAGGCUUAUGUGAGUCCAAACUCGUUUGAGUUAUUUACUUUCCAAUUGCGCACAGGUAUACAUACUUUCUGGGCUUAUAGGGGUCCAGUUAGGUUAUAGAUAAUUGUUUUACUUUACUACUUUGUUCUUUCCAGACUCGUGAGCUAUAUAGUUAGACUUUCCGUUAUUACUUUGUUCAUUUGACCUCUAAUUACCGUUACAUUCAUAUUUUUCAUAUUGUUUUUACUUUCCAUGCCCAGUCGACCUAUGAUGCUACUGGGCACCUGUUGUUUUGAUAUUAUGCUACACUCCACAUCUGUUUUCUUGAUGUAGAUUUGAGCGCCAGCUGAUAAUGGUGAUUCGAGCCUAAGAAAUGCGGAGAUCUUCUGAGAUGAAGGGUGAGCUGAUGGCAUCCUAGUUCGACUUAUCUCCAUAUGUAUAUAGUUUUUUAAUGUCUUUUGUAUUCGAGACAAGUCUAUUAAGUUAGUGAAUAGCAUAGGCUCGAAACUAUGACUAGAACAUUGAGUGCAUGACAUGCACAUCUUACUCCUUAUUUUCCCUAUUCGUACCUGUUUUUUUCAUACUUUCUAACUUCACUGGUACAUUAUUCCUUGUUAAGGAAAAUUAUGUAAACAACUAGUUCUUUGAUUGAUACAACUAAUUCACAUUAAAUAAUAACUAGAAUCUUAUUACAUUUUUGAACUGUUAAACUAGAAACAAGAUUUAGGAUAAGGGAACUAUUUAUUAACUUCACUUCUCCUUAUUAGUGUCAAAAGUUUCUCGUUUAGGAAAUAUGAAGUUUUGAAGGACUAAUAGUAUAUUAUCCUUUUUUAAAAUUGAACUCUAUCCAAUGGUUGAUUCUAUUUAUGAAUCAAUUCCUUAGGUGCAUUAUUUCCAUAGGUUUCAACAUUGGUAACAAAAUCUAGCUUUCUCGCUUAAAUUGACAUAUUUCUAUACUUCCCUCAUCUUAUCUAUCACUGAGGCCGCUCCCAUCUUAUCCCUUAUAUCCUUAUUUAUAAUUUUUAUCGCUCCGAGUAUGAACGUGCAUCCACCUCAAUAUAUAUUCACAUCUCUGCAACAUGCAUCUUCUAGACAUGGGACUUGACUGGCCAACUCUCAUUUCCAUACAACAAUUACAUACACACUCUAUAUAAAUACACACAUACAUAUAUUGAUGGAAAAAUCAUCAACAGAUGAAACUUAAGCAAUACUCCCUCCAUCUCAAUUAAUGUGACAGUCGGAAUUUUGUCUUUUAAAUUGUUAAUUAUUGUGAUUUACCAUUUUUCACAUAAUUUUCAAAUACAUAAAUUUUAUAUCAAAAAAACUUAAAGUUUCUGUAUCCGAAUUUACUAUUAAAUUAUAGAAGUUUGAAUCUCAAAAUUUCAACUAAUGCCACAUAAAUUAAAUCAACUCCAACACUCAGAAAAGCUACAAAAGUUCAAACAUAGAAAGUAAAAAAAAAUUUAAAAAAGAAAUAGAAAAAACCUUGAGAUAAUAUGUCUUGCUAAUUUCCUCUUCAGAUGCUAAUUAAAGGACUUACACCAAGAACAUCAUAAUACUCUGUGUCUUUCACCAUUUUCUUUUCUUUUUCCAAAAUCCCUAUUAACAAAAAAUUUACUCUUUUACCUCCUCCAAUACUCUAAUUACCUUUUUUUUCGCGCUUCUAAAAUCUUAAUACAAGAGCGAAAAACCACUUGAGUGUAAGGAAAGGAAACAAGCCAAACGAAAAAAAAAAAAAAAACUCUCAAAAUUAUAUGAUCAAGAAAACUUGCAAGUACAAAAGGAGAAAGAGGAGGGGGUGGGUGGGGUAUGAUGAAAAGAAUGUCUCAGAAUAAGAGAGUGCCCCAACGAGACAAAGCUGCCUUUCCAGUUCUGAUCAACAAAUUAAUUACGGAAAAUCUGUUGCUUGUCGAUACUCUAAAAGCAGUGUAUUUUUGGAAUUAAGAGGAGUUGUAUAAACUAAAAUGACAAAAGAAGUGUAGGAAAGUGAGGAAGUAGUCAACUGUUGAGGUAUUUCAACAACACCACUCAAUCAAUCCAAUAUCUCUUUUUCCAUUUUUACCUUGUCGUAAUUGCGGCACUUCUUCUUCAUCAGCUUAUAAGGUUAGAUUUCUGAUUAUUUUUUUGAAUCUGAAUCUGAAUCUGAAUUUGUGCUAUUUGGGGAUGGAUAUAGGGUUUUGCUGCCAUUGUUUCUGUUUAUGCUAAUUUUUUUUAUUUCUUUCCAUCUUUUACAUUUCAAUAUUGGGUAAGUUAAAAUUGUUUCUUUUCCAAGGAUUUGUAUAUUGAUAUUAGUAGAAAAGGGUAAUUACUGUUUCAUGCUCCUUAAAUUACCUGCAAAAUUGUUCUAUAUGCUAACUUGAUAUGUAGCUCAAAAAUACCUAUUGACUAGUUAAUGAAAAGUCUAGAAAACCACAUGACUACUUCUUUACUAGUCUCCUCUUAUUGACUCUAUUUGGCUGAUUAUUGAUCCGUCCAACCCAUUUCAACCCAAAUCGAAAGAAAAAAUCCAAGAUAGUCCUUUAUUUUUGGCUUUAGAUUCGAAAUCAUCAAUUGAUGCACUAAUAGUCCUCCAAAGUUUUAAGUAUUAGUGCACUUUUAUCUGAUGCUAAUUUGAGAUAUUGAUACACGAAGACUAAGUAUGUAUUAUAUUUUUCCUUUUUUCUUGUUUUUAUUUUAUUCUUUGGUUAUGCUCCAGAUAUAUAGGCAAAGCACAAGAAACUUUUAUUCCGGAAAAACCCAAAGACUUAUAGUCAGCUUAUUAAUUGCUUAUGGAAAAUAGAAGAGAAAGUUAAAGAAUUAGCAAAUUUUGAAUGGUGCACACCAAACAUUGAAGAUGCAGAGCCAAAAAAUAAAACAAGUACAAAUGAAGACUCAUCUGCAAUUGCUAAGAUAAAUCUAACAAUUAAUAUGUUUUGUACCAGAACGUAGACAGUGGAGGUUAUAAAUGGGUGUGUAAAGGAUCAAAACGUUAAUGAGUAAAUGGAUGUUAAUGAAGAGACUAAAAAUGCACUGACACUUGAAACUUAAAGAACUAUUAGUGCACUAUAUAAAAGAAAGGGAAGGGAUGACUUUGAGUCUGAAGCCAAACAUAAGGAACUAUUUUGAAUCUUUUCCAAACAAUGUUAAGCUCAAACACAAUGUUAUAAAAAGGUAAGAUAAGAACUAAUGUCACAAUAUUACAGGUAAAUCGUUUUUUUUUCCUGUUUUUCAAUUUUUAUCACUAUAAUAUUCUGUAUGUCAAACUCUAAGAUCCUCAUCCAUUGGUAUGGUAUAGAAGUAGUGUUCAAUUUGCUCGACUGCAUUAUCCUCACCCUGAGUCUCGUUUCCUCUCUUUAUUGGAACUAGGCUCUCCUUGUAAUUGAAAACCCAACAGCCAGAAAAGAUAAGGUCCAGCUGAAAUCCAAGAUCUGUAACUUGUCUUGUUUCAGGGUUAUAUAGCACUAGCUGUGAAGUUUCUGUGAUCUCGAAAACCAUCUUAUCGUUAUCCCAGAUGUUGUAAGGCCAAUGAGCAUCUAUAUGAGGUUGAAGAGUAAGAACUUUGGACCAAUUUCCCCCUUGUUUCAUUACCCACACAUCGUAUAUGGAUGUCAUUGGUUUGCCAGGGUCACCGGUUAAUAUAGCAAGUGAGCCGCCAUGCAAUGUAAGCUUCCCCCAAUGUUCACUUGGAAUAUCUGGGACUUGCAUCUCCCCAAACUGUUCGCUGCCCAUGUCAAAAGAGUGAAUCGUGUAGAUGUCAUCAAGGCCCAUAGAAAGCCCAUAAUAAACCCCGUUGAGAUAAGUGGCGUCAAGGGGUGCAGAUAAGGUAGAACUGGGAGGGAAUUCAGGAGUAAGGUGUUUCCAUGAAUUGUUGCAUGAGGAAUAGACAUAGGCAUAGACACGAUUAUUAGCACCUUGUCCCGGUUCAUCCCAGAACACUCGAAUCCAUACAACCUUAAAAUCUUGAGUCAACAG
Molecule: long non-coding RNA, 16200 nt
Filed under: Solanum tuberosum (potato)
Lineage: Eukaryota; Viridiplantae; Streptophyta; Magnoliopsida; Solanales; Solanaceae
Description: long non-coding RNA (STUB_LNC005037)
Source: RNAcentral